Molecule: long non-coding RNA, 213 nt
Filed under: Elaeis guineensis (African oil palm)
Lineage: Eukaryota; Viridiplantae; Streptophyta; Magnoliopsida; Arecales; Arecaceae
Description: long non-coding RNA (EGUI_LNC076192)
Source: RNAcentral
CCCGUAUCAAAUAUUGGAUUGACAAAUUCAAGUGGGUAAGGUGGGUGAGGUGAAUCACAGGGCAUUAACCUCCUGAACUUGAAUUUCUUCAAUUGGUUCAUUCAGAAAAUUCAUCUUUACAAGUGAUUUGACAGGUGGUUGCUAUUAUGGAUGAACUCUCUGAUCACUAGAUGAAAAAAUUUCAUGAGUUAUUUUAAAUAUUUGAUCUGGCCA